UUAAAAAGGUCAAGCUACAAAGGGCGCAUGGUGAAUGCCUUGGCAUCAGGAGCCGAUGAAGGACGUGAUAAGCUGCGAUAAGCUUCGGGUAGGCGCACAUAGCCAGAGAUCCGGAGAUUUCCGAAUGGGGAAACCCGCAUGAGAAACCUCAUGCAUCGUAAAGUGAAUACAUAGCUUUAUGAAGGAACACCUAGGGAACUGAAACAUCUAAGUACCUAGAGGAAGAGAAAGAAAAAUCGAUUUUCUUAGUAGCGGCGAGCGAAAAGGAAAGAGCCCAAACCAGAGAUUUAUCUCUGGGGUUGCGGACAGAACAUAACGUGAAAUUAUGAUUAACCGAACACAACUGGAAAGUUGGACCGUAGGAGGUAAUAGUCCUGUAAGUAAAAGUCAUAAUGAUCAGUUCUGCACCAGAGUACCACGAGACACGUGAAACCUUGUGGGAAGCAGGGAGGACCACCUCCCAAGGCUAAAUACUACCUGAUGACCGAUAGUGAAGCAGUACCGUGAGGGAAAGGUGAAAAGAACCCCGGGAGGGGAGUG
RNAcentral lists this ribosomal RNA (540 nucleotides) under Paraclostridium sordellii. RNAcentral's name for it is "partial 23S ribosomal RNA". It matches the Rfam family "Bacterial large subunit ribosomal RNA", at positions 1 to 540 of the family's 2925-position model. The record is from RNAcentral. Lineage: Bacteria; Bacillati; Bacillota; Clostridia; Peptostreptococcales; Peptostreptococcaceae.